This 253-nucleotide ribosomal RNA is filed under the name uncultured bacterium. Its description in RNAcentral is "partial 16S ribosomal RNA". It matches the Rfam family "Bacterial small subunit ribosomal RNA", at positions 524 to 776 of the family's 1533-position model. The record is from RNAcentral.
GACGAACCGUACGAACGUUAUUCGGAAUUACUGGGCUUAAAGGGUGCGUAGGCGGCGCAGUAAGUUGGGUGUGAAAUCCCUCGGCUUAACCGAGGAAUUGCGCCCAAAACUACUGUGCUCGAGGGAGAUAGAGGUGAGCGGAACUUAGGGUGGAGCGGUGAAAUGCGUUGAUAUCCUAAGGAACACCGGUGGCGAAAGCGGUCGACUGGUCGAGUUCUGACACUGAGGCGCGACGGCGUGGGGAGCAAACCGG